UACGUAGGGCGCAAGCGUUGUCCGGAAUUAUUGGGCGUAAAGAGCUCGUAGGCGGCUUGUCACGUCGAUUGUGAAAGCCCGAGGCUUAACCUCGGGUCUGCAGUCGAUACGGGCUAGCUAGAGUGUGGUAGGGGAGAUCGGAAUUCCUGGUGUAGCGGUGAAAUGCGCAGAUAUCAGGAGGAACACCAACAGCGAAGGCAGAUCUCUGGGACGUAACUGACGCUGAGACGCGAAAGCGUGGGGAGCAAACAGG
This 253-nucleotide ribosomal RNA is filed under the name uncultured bacterium. Its description in RNAcentral is "partial 16S ribosomal RNA". It matches the Rfam family "Bacterial small subunit ribosomal RNA", at positions 524 to 776 of the family's 1533-position model. The record is from RNAcentral.